Molecule: ribosomal RNA, 485 nt
Filed under: uncultured bacterium
Lineage: Bacteria
Description: bacterial SSU rRNA
Rfam family: Bacterial small subunit ribosomal RNA
Source: RNAcentral
AUUGAACGCUGGCGGCAUGCCUUACACAUGCAAGUCGAGCGGUAGAGAGAAGCUUGCUUCUCUUGAGAGCGGCGGACGGGUGAGUAAUGCCUAGGAAUCUGCCUAGUGGUGGGGGAUAACGUCCGGAAACGGACGCUAAUACCGCAUACGUCCUACGGGAGAAAGCGGGGGAUCUUCGGACCUUGUGCUAAUAGAUGAGCCUAAGUCAGAUUAGCUAGUUGGUGGGGUAAAGGCCUACCAAGGCGACGAUCUGUAGCGGGUCUGAGAGGAUGAUCCGCCACACUGGGACUGAGACACGGCCCAGACUCCUACGGGAGGCAACAGUGGGGAAUAUUGGACAAUGGGCGCAAGCCUGAUCCAGCCAUGCCGCGUGUGUGAAGAAGGCCUUUUGGUUGUAAAGCACUUUAAGCGAGGAGGAGGCUACUUGGAUUAAUACUCUAGGAUAGUGGACGUUACUCGCAGAAUAAGCACCGGCUAACUCUGUG